RNAcentral lists this non-coding RNA (24 nucleotides) under Arabidopsis thaliana (thale cress). The record is from RNAcentral. Lineage: Eukaryota; Viridiplantae; Streptophyta; Magnoliopsida; Brassicales; Brassicaceae.
GAAGCAGAAGUUGUCGGUGAUAUG